RNAcentral lists this ribosomal RNA (460 nucleotides) under uncultured bacterium. RNAcentral describes it as "partial 16S ribosomal RNA". It matches the Rfam family "Bacterial small subunit ribosomal RNA", at positions 338 to 795 of the family's 1533-position model. The record is from RNAcentral.
CCUACGGGAGGCAGCAGUGAGGAAUAUUGGUCAAUGGGCGUAAGCCUGAACCAGCCAAGCCGCGUGAGGGAUGAAGGUUCUAUGGAUCGUAAACCUCUUUUAUAAGGGAAUUAAUUGCGGGACGUGUCCCGUUUUGUAUGUACCUUAUGAAUCAGGCUCGGCUAACUCCGUGCCAGCAGCCGCGGUAAUCCGGAGGAUCCGAGCGUUAUCCGGAUUUAUUGGGUUUAAAGGGUGCGUAGGCGGGCUUUUAAGUCAGCUGUGAAAGUCUGUGGCUCAACCAUAGAAUUGCCGUUGAAACUGGGAGGCUUGAGUAUGUUUGAGGCAGGUGGAAUGCGUGGUGUAGCGGUGAAAUGCGUAGAGAUCACGCAGAACCCCGAUUGCGAAGGCAGCCUGCCAAGCCAUGACUGACGCUGAUGCACGAAAGCGUGGGGAGCAAACAGGAUUAGAUACCCGUGUAGUC